GCUAUAUCAUAAUUGGUUAAUGAUCCUGAUUGUGAAUCAGGCCUUCCAAGCCUCGCUGAGUAGGGUUCGAUUCCCUCUAGCAGCUCCA
RNAcentral lists this transfer RNA (88 nucleotides) under Escherichia phage SelmaRatti. RNAcentral's name for it is "tRNA-His". It matches the Rfam family "tRNA". Rfam says of the family: Transfer RNA (tRNA) molecules are approximately 80 nucleotides in length. Their secondary structure includes four short double-helical elements and three loops (D, anti-codon, and T loops). The record is from RNAcentral. Lineage: Duplodnaviria; Heunggongvirae; Uroviricota; Caudoviricetes; Demerecviridae.